CUCUUUGUUAAGUCAGAGAACCUGUCAACCUCUUCUGACUUCCACGAUCUUAUCCAUCAUUGAUAGGCUGUGCAAGCAGACCUGGAGGGGUCCAUUCCAGCUCUCGCCUUGAGUCUCUCCAGUUCAUCUUUCUCACUGCUUCGGGACCUGCCAUUCUAAAUCACAGUGUGGCCGAUGUGUCUAGAAUGACUCUGGAUGUCCACCCUUCUAAGAAAACUGCGAGGGGGAAACUCAGGCUGGAGCCGGAUGCAGGACGUUCCUACUCAUCCGUCCACUGUAAGUGCGGAGGGCCCGGCUCUCCCACUCACCAACUGUGAGGCAAGUGACUUAACAUCUGUAGGUCUUAGUGUCGUUGUCUGUAUAAAUGGAAAUAAUAGUCCCUACCUUGAAGGGCUGUUGUGAGUGAAAAUUGAGUUAGUGUGUGGCAGGUGUUUGGAACAAACUGUGUUUGAAACGAAAUAAGUGGAGUGAAAAUGUUGGUUAAUAUUACAAAUUUGCCUUCGACUCUAGAGUGCAAGCUUGGCUUUCUGAUAUGACAA
This is a long non-coding RNA of Pteropus alecto (black flying fox), 539 nucleotides long. RefSeq lists it as uncharacterized. The record is from RefSeq and is a predicted model, not a curated record. The transcript is spliced from 3 exons. Lineage: Eukaryota; Metazoa; Chordata; Mammalia; Chiroptera; Pteropodidae.